This is a non-coding RNA of Callithrix jacchus (white-tufted-ear marmoset), 1716 nucleotides long. Lineage: Eukaryota; Metazoa; Chordata; Mammalia; Primates; Cebidae. The record is from RefSeq and is a predicted model, not a curated record.
AUGAUUGAGGUACUGACAACAACUGACUCUCAGAAACUGCUACACCAGCUGAAUGCCCUUUUGGAACAGGAGUGUAGAUGUCGGCCAGAGGUCUGUGGCUUGGACUAACUGAGUAUGCACACGACAGUGGCCUCAGAAUGACUGCAAGACAAAGGGACUUUGAAGUAAAACAUCUCUUAGUCUAACUCAGUUCUUUGGCUUCAACACAGAGACAUUCUCUAGCUGUGGAUUUACUGGACAGAUCCUGUCUAAACUGAAGGUACAGCCCAAGCACCUUGAACUGAGCUGCUUCCAUUUGGCUUUCAAAUCAAUCGAAGAGGAAAGGAAUGUCCCAUUGGUGACUGACUUGAUUUGAAUAAGUCAAUACAGGUUUACGGUUUCAGACUUGAUGAGAAUGGAAAAGAUUGUAUUGGAGAAGGUAUGUUGGAAAGUCAAAGCUACUACUGCCAUUCAUUUUCUCCAAAUGUAUUACUCACUCCUUCAGGAGAAUUUGCCAUUUGAAAGGAGAAGUAGCAUUAGUUUUGAAAGACUAGAAGCUCAACUUAAGGUAUAUCAUUGCAGGAUUGUAUUUUCUAAAGCAAAGCCUUCUCUGUUGGCAUUGCCUAUCACUGUAUUAGAGAUCCAAGCACAGGAGUGUGUGGAGUUAACAGAAGGAGUAGAAUGUCUCCAGAAACAUUCCAACAUAAAUGGCAGAGAUUUGCCCUUCUGGCAGGAGCUUGUAUCCAAGUGUUUAACUGAAUAUUCAUUAAACAAGUGUUCCAAACCAAAUGUUGAGAAGUUAAAAUGGAUUGUUUCUGAGUGUACUGCAUGGUAAUUGAAGCAUAGUUACAACAGAAUAACUUACCUUCUAACAAUUCCUGAAAUGAUUCCUUAAUUGGAAUAUUACAGCACAAAAAAACUUCUCUGAAGCCUUUCUCCACAACCUUGCUCUAUGGAUUCCAUACUGUUACAAUGGAUUUAAGGUAUGAAGCCUCAAAACAUUACAAGAUAAGCAUGAUGGUCUCAUACUUCAGAAAACUGCCUAAUUAAUGUUCUGCUGUAGUGGAAUUAUGUUUAGAUUUGAAUUCAUCUGUGGAACAUUCAAAUCAAAGCUAAAAGCCUAAAUGUGAAAUGCUAAUGACAAGCCUGAGAAGGUAAACUGUGAAUUUUCAUUUCUAUCAUCGAUCUAACUUUAAAUAUUGGAUCAAUAUCUUUGGGUGAUAUUGAAAAUGGUAUCAGAGGAGCCACACUAGUACUAUCAACUAUCAGUCUUCCCAUAGCUUCAAUCACUCUCAUUAUUCUAAUCCUACUCCUACUUAAUUUAAGUAUUAAAUUUUAAGUUAUGAUGUUUACAUCAAAAGCAACAUUUCACAGGUGCAUGUUUAAGGCAUAAUAAGGGUUAACAUUCUAGGCAGUGUAAACACACCCCAUAAUGCAAGUAAUGGAUAAUCCAGAGAUGUGGACUUUAUUGCUAUAUGGGAGUUACAGUUAAAUUUGAGGGCACUUUAUAUAAAGAAAAAUACAGACCUAGAAAGUUUGGCAUAUCCAUAAUGUUAUCUUUAAUAUUUUUUUCUAGAAAACAGGUGACAUUUGUAUCUACGAUAAAAUUUUUAUACAGAACCUACUGCCUCAAACUGAAUCCCAUCAAAAAAAUUUGUUUCUAUUGUAUUAGUAACUCAGAAUGAAUUAUCACUUUGAAAAUUUGCUUUCCCACACUAAGGUAAGUUCAGGCUAGAU